UAGCCUCUAAAAAGUUAUUAUUCCAAAAACCCUUAAAACACCUUCUUCUUUUUCUACCGCUUGAAGUUUGGAGAGUCAAGUUAUUCGACCUCAACUCCCGUAAACAUCUCUACAUCUUCAGUAAGAUGUCGAAUCUAGGGUUUUGAGAGGGCAAAAAUAUCUAAGUGGGCUACUAAUCUCAUCGUGAAUUUCGAUUUUGUGGUAUAUCUCCCAAAUUCAAUUUUGUGUAUCAAUGAGUUUUCUGAUUUUUAUAUUUAACAUUUGGAUUUAGGUUCGGUGUGUGCGAAGGUGAUUUAAUCAUGGUGCGUUAUUCUAGAUGAUUAAUAAUAUACUGGAUCUGGGCAAUCAGUUGGGAGGUGUGUAUUCAGAUUCUGGGUUCUCCGUACCCCAGAAUAAUUCAGAAUUGUGAAACUGCUCGCAAGAUCUCAGGAAACUUCUUACUUCCCCAUUUCUCGAGACAGAUCAGGUUGUCAAGAAGAUUACAGAGGACCUAAAGACAGCUCUUCAAGCUGCUUCUUACUAGGCAGCUGUAUAUUCUAUGUUGAUAGCUAAAAGCCGCGUGAGAACUGUAAGGUUAGUCUCUCACUCUCUGUUCAUCUUGAAUAAAAUGAAUGCCAAGGAUGCAGACCUGUAUAACAAUACAGGAUCACAGACUUGAAAAGUGUAUAUGUUGAGCCUCCUGAAUCUGUGUAAAUGAAGUGGACUACAAUAAAUCAAGAUUACGAAGAAGCGCACUCUCAUGGAGGUGAAUGCAGCGAUUGGAGUUCCUUUGCAGCUGCUUUCCUUUCUUUCUCCUUCGUCACCGCUACUAGUGACAUGGUGUUGCAGCCAUUUAUACAACUAUAUCUAAGUUAUAACCUCUCGGUUAUGUACAAAAUUUUGGCUCGAUUUUGAACAUGAUGACCAGUUGCAGAUGCAAAAAAAUUAUAGGCAACAGAAGGGCUAACUACAUGUUCUUUUUUACUCCAGGUUUUCGAAGUUGGAUAGAGUUUGUGUCAUGUUCCUCAGUGAGAUGUUCUCGUGAAUUCAGAUGGCAUAAUUGGUGGUAGCUUGAUGUAUAUUUACAUCGGUCAUUUAGUCUUAUUAGAAAACUACUCCGUAUAGUUUUGAUUUCUUUAUUUUUCUGACAGAAGAUGAAUUUUUAAGGGAAUGUAUCAGUUAUUUUUUUUGGUUCAAAAAUGUAUUGGUUAUGUGGUUGUAUGGAAGAAUAUAUUUUCAAGAAUUCAAUAUGUAUGAAUACAACUUUUUUUUGUGUGCAAA
This is a long non-coding RNA of Spinacia oleracea (spinach), 1260 nucleotides long. RefSeq lists it as uncharacterized. The record is from RefSeq and is a predicted model, not a curated record. The transcript has 4 exons. Lineage: Eukaryota; Viridiplantae; Streptophyta; Magnoliopsida; Caryophyllales; Amaranthaceae.